CUCCCACUAAUACUACUAGAGAGAUAAAUUAGGUUAAAUGCUAGUGCGACAGACUUUCCUCAUUGUACGCACCAGACAUUUUGACUGAUCACCUGCGACUAGAGGACUGGAGGACUGGAGGAGAGGCUGACAGACGCACCAGAGACCCAACGAUGAAAAUGAAACAACCAAUUACCCCGAUUCUCCAGGCGUCUCCUUCCAACGGUUUCAAACACCACGAGGGAGAGGUGGAGCAGAGGGAGGCGGGGCCCUACGGUCCGCGGGCGGGGACCAGGUGCUCACCUGAGACCAGG
Long non-coding RNA from Gadus chalcogrammus (walleye pollock), 293 nucleotides. RefSeq lists it as uncharacterized. The transcript is spliced from 3 exons. The record is from RefSeq and is a predicted model, not a curated record. NCBI's taxonomy places the organism in Eukaryota, Metazoa, Chordata, Actinopteri, Gadiformes, Gadidae.